UGAUUCCCCUAGUAGUGGCGAGCGAACGGGGAACAGCCCAAACCGUCGCUGUCGCAAGGCAGCGUCGGGGUAGUAGGACCACGACCUUGUAUCAUGAUCGCGAGCAGAAGGUCCCUGGAAAGGACCGCCGCAGACGGUGAGAGCCCGGUAUGCGAAGCGUGAUUGGGCAUAGUGGUAUCCUGAGUAGCGCGGGACACGAGGAAUCCUGCGUGAAUCCGCCGGGACCAUCCGGUAAGGCUAAAUACUCCCGUGAGACCGAUAGUGAACGAGUACCGUGAGGGAAAGGUGAAAAGCACCCCUAGCAGGGGAGUGAAACAGUCCCUGAAACCAUGCGCCUACAAGCGGUCGGAGCUGCUUUUGCAGUGACGGCGUGCCUUUUGCAUAAUGAGCCUACGAGUUGCCAUGUCCGGCAAGGCUAAGGGCGAGUACGCCCGCAGCCGCAGUGAAAGCGAGCCUGAACAGGGCGCCGAGUCGGAUGGGGCAGACGCGAAACCAAGUGAUCUACGCAUGGCCAGGCUGAAGUCCCGGUAACACGGGAUGGAGGGCCGCACGGAUAAGCGUUGAAAAGCUUCCCGAUGAGCUGUGCGUAGGAGUGAAAGGCCAAUCAAACUUGGAGAUAGCUCGUACUCCCCGAAAGGCAUUUAGGUGCCGCGUCGGAUGUUCACCGCGAGAGGUAGAGCGACCGAUAGGACGAGAGGGCUUCACCGCCUAUCGAGUCCUGACGAACUCCGAAUGCUCGCGGUCCGCAGUCCGGCAGUAAGGGGGCGGGUGCUAAGGUCCGUCCCCGAGAGGAGAAGAAUCCUGACCGUCGUCUAAGGUCCCGAAAUUCUGUCUAAGUUAGUCUAACGAGGUCUGGUCUCAGUGACAGCUAGGAUGUUGGCUUGGAAGCAGCCAUUCAUUCAAAGAGGGCGUAACAGCUCACUAGUCGAGAGACCGGGCAUGGAUAAUAAUCGGGUAUUAAGUCAGAUACCGAAGGCACGGGGUAGCAGAGUAAUGAAAAGUACCGGUAGGGGAGCAUUCCACCUCCGUCGAAUGGUUUCCGUGAGGAUUCCUGGAGGGCGUGGAAAAGCAAAUGUAGGCAUAAGUAACGACUAGGGGCGUGAGAACCGCCCCCGCCGCAAGUCUAAGGUUUCCCGGGCGAUGCCAGUCAGCCCGGGGUCAGUCGGGUCCUAAGGCUCAGCCGAACGGCGAGGCCGAUGGCAGACACGGUUAAUAUUCCGUGACCCUCUGCUGGAGCGACGUGGAGACGGAGCAGUGACACCACCGCGCCCUGACGGAAUAGGGCGUUGAAGGCCGUAGGUGCUGACGGAGGCAGGCAAAUCCACCUCCAGAGCUGAAAGCCGACAGUACGCUUCCUCCUUCGGGAGGCGGCGACAGCGUGGGUAACCAUACUUCCUAGAAAAUCCGCUAAGCAUAUCCAUUGGAGGCCCGUACCGCAAUCCGACACAGGUAGACGGGUAGAACAUACUGAGGCGUUGGGAGAUUCAUGGCUAAGGAACUAGGCAAACUGACCCCGUAACUUCGGGAUAAGGGGUCCUCACGGCAACGUGAGGCGCAGAGAAUAGGCCCAGGCAACUGUUUAACAAAAACACAGGGCUGUGCAAACUCGAAAGAUGAUGUAUACAGUCUGACACCUGCCCGGUGCCGGAAGGUUAAGAGGAGGAGUCAGCCCCUUGUGGGUGAAGCCCCGAGUUGAAGCCCCGGUAAACGGCGGCCGUAACUAUAACGGUCCUAAGGUAGCGAAAUUCCUUGUCGGGUAAGUUCCGACCUGCACGAAUGGUGUAAUGAUCCGGGCGCUGUCUCGGCCAUGAUCCCAGUGAAAUUGUAGUAUCGGUGAAGAUGCCGAUUACCCGCGAUGGGACGAAAAGACCCCGUGAACCUUUACUACAGCUUAGCGCUGACCUUGGUCAUCCGAUGUGUAGGAUAGGCCGGAGGCUUCGAAGCGGGGACGCCAGUCUUCGUGGAGCCGCCCUUGAAAUACGGCCCUUUGGCUGUCCGAGGUCUAACGCGCUUUUUGCGCGGACACCGCUUGGCGGGUAGUUUGACUGGGGUGGUCGCCUCCAAAAGUGUAACGGAGGCUUCCAAAGGUGCCCUCAGGCCGAUUGGUAACCGGCCUCUAGAGUGCAAUGGCAUAAGGGCGCUUGACUGGGAGGGAGACAUCCCGAGCAGGCAGGAAACUGGGGCAUAGUGAUCCGGCGGACGCGUAUGGAAGCUCCGUCGCUCAAAGGAUAAAAGGUACUCCGGGGAUAACAGG
This 2254-nucleotide ribosomal RNA is filed under the name human gut metagenome. Its description in RNAcentral is "bacterial LSU rRNA". It matches the Rfam family "Bacterial large subunit ribosomal RNA", at positions 232 to 2481 of the family's 2925-position model. The record is from RNAcentral.